AUGCCGCUCUUACCUGUUGCAGCGUCUGGAGAACGGUGUCAGAGCCACUUCAAUGAAAUACUUCUCCAGGAACGUUUUCCUUGCGAUAUGUUGCAUUGUGCAGCCAGGGAGAGCCACAGCCACUUAGCAACAGCACAGCGCCAGGACACCAAGACGUCACUGCUGCGAUCAGACAGGUUACCCGCGAACCCCACGGGGAGCCAGGCAGCUCUUCUGCCUCCCUUGCCUAGACACAAGCAGCCUUUUCCUCUGAGUGGGAUGAGCCUUGCAGUGUGCAUUUCAGGUGUGCUCACAAAUGACCCGUGUGACCUUUUUUCUGCAUUGCUUCCUCGUGACUGAAGGUAUUUUUUCAUCUGUAGAUGGAAGAGGUUAAUAAUUAGCCUGAUGGCCUUGAUGAAGGAGAUAUUUGCAGCAAAUGAACCAUAAUCACUAGAUUAAAUCUGAAUACAUUUCUCCAUUCUCUUAAGCAACAUUUUAUGCUGAUUUGGAUAUCUGACUUAAAGCAUACAAAAGACAGUGGAUGAAAGAGUAAAUGCCUUUGCUGAUGUACAGUUUUAAUAACACAGUUAUUGGGAGCCCGUCCUGGAUUUUUUCAGAUCAAUAGUUUUCAGAAGUACUGAGCCCUCAAAUCUGAUUGAACUCUUAAAGAGCUGUUGUGAUCCACGUCUUAAGAAACAGGCCACGCCAGUAAAUAUUUUGCUGUUUAGUAUAACGAUAUUAGAAUAUGUUCCUAGAGAUACCAUUUGUGUAGCCACACAAAGAAUGUACCUUAAAUUGUAAGGAAAACGAAGGCAUCUAUUUUAUAAUUUGUAAAAAAUUAAAACACACAGUGUAAAAUGUUCUUGCGCUGUUAUGUUACAGUAGAGUUGGGCUGAGCAGAGAACUGGACUCCAGCUGUGAGCCUUGGAUCUGGUAGGUAUUAUAUCACCUCUUUGCAAACGGAUCCACCUGGGAAGCAACACGGAAGGCUUCCCAAGCAAAAGAGCGGCUGCUAAUUUUGCGGGAUGGCACACCUUCCCAGCGCCACAUGGCAAAACGAGGGGGUGCGCUUGGGAAUGCCGGUCCGCACAGCGGCCGUGCCGCUAAGUGGAAACGGAUCUCCAGAGAGGCGGGCUGUCGACCUGCUGCUCCUCCCAG
This 1137-nucleotide long non-coding RNA is filed under the name Struthio camelus australis. RNAcentral describes it as "lncRNA (ENSSCUG00000004655.1)". Lineage: Eukaryota; Metazoa; Chordata; Aves; Struthioniformes; Struthionidae. The record is from RNAcentral.